Molecule: ribosomal RNA, 404 nt
Filed under: Fusobacteriota bacterium
Lineage: Bacteria; Fusobacteriati; Fusobacteriota
Description: Fusobacteria bacterium partial 16S ribosomal RNA
Rfam family: Bacterial small subunit ribosomal RNA
Source: RNAcentral
UGGGGAAUAUUGCACAAUGGAGGGAACUCUGAUGCAGCGACGCCGCGUGAGUGAUGAAGGAAUUCGUUUCGUAAAACUCUGUUCUAUGGGAAGAAAAGGACUGUACCAUAGGAGAAAGCUCCGGCUAAAUACGUGCCAGCAGCCGCGGUAAUACGUAUGGAGCGAGCGUUGUCCGGAAUUAUUGGGCGUAAAGGGUGCGCAGGCCGUGGGUUAAGUGUGUUGUGAAAUCCGGUUGCUCAACAUCCGGUUUGCAGCGCAUACUGUCCCACUUGAGUGCGCACAACGCAGGCGGAAUUCGUCGUGUAGCGGUGAAAUGCUUAGAUAUGACGAGGAACCCCGAUUGCGAAGGCAGCUUGCGGGAGCGCAACUGACGCUUAAGCUCGAAGGUGCGGGUAUCAAACAGG